AGUGAACGCUGGCGGUAGGCCUAACACAUGCAAGUCGAACGGCAGCACAGUAAGAGCUUGCUCUUACGGGUGGCGAGUGGCGGACGGGUGAGGAAUACAUCGGAAUCUACUUUUUCGUGGGGGAUAACGUAGGGAAACUUACGCUAAUACCGCAUACGACCUACGGGUGAAAGCAGGGGAUCUUCGGACCUUGCGCGAUUGAAUGAGCCGAUGUCGGAUUAGCUAGUUGGCGGGGUAAAGGCCCACCAAGGCGACGAUCCGUAGCUGGUCUGAGAGGAUGAUCACCCACACUGGAACUGAGACACGGUCCAUGCUCCUACGGGAGGCAGCAGUGGGGAAUAUUGGACAAUGGGCGCAAGCCUGACCCAGCCAUACCGCGUGUGUGAAGGAGGCCUUCGGGUUGUAAAGCCCUUUUGUUGGUAAAGAAAAGCAGCAGGUUAAGACCCCGCUGUUCUGACGGUACCCAAAGAAUAAGCACCGGCUAACUUCGUG
This 492-nucleotide ribosomal RNA is filed under the name uncultured bacterium. Its description in RNAcentral is "partial 16S ribosomal RNA". It matches the Rfam family "Bacterial small subunit ribosomal RNA", at positions 29 to 507 of the family's 1533-position model. The record is from RNAcentral.